UUGCGGUGAAUACGUUCCCGGACCUUGUACACACCGCCCGUCAAGCCAUGAAAGUCGGGGAGACCUGAAGACGGUAACCGCGAGGAGCCGUUUAGGGUAAAAUCGGUAAUUAGGGCU
This 117-nucleotide ribosomal RNA is filed under the name uncultured bacterium. Its description in RNAcentral is "partial 16S ribosomal RNA". It matches the Rfam family "Bacterial small subunit ribosomal RNA", at positions 1357 to 1482 of the family's 1533-position model. The record is from RNAcentral.